This is a long non-coding RNA of Formica exsecta, 166 nucleotides long. RefSeq lists it as uncharacterized. The record is from RefSeq and is a predicted model, not a curated record. NCBI's taxonomy places the organism in Eukaryota, Metazoa, Arthropoda, Insecta, Hymenoptera, Formicidae. The transcript is spliced from 3 exons.
AAGGGACAACAGAUGAAAGAACAUCCCACGAUAUAGUGCGGUCUUUAAAAAUGAUCAUGACGCAACUACGUCGUAUGGAAGAGCGACAAAUUUCCAUCGAAAAGAAAACUGAUGAAAAUACAACGGCCAUUAAACGGUUAAUGCGAGAGUCUGCAGUAAAGAGACC